RNAcentral lists this ribosomal RNA (397 nucleotides) under uncultured bacterium. RNAcentral describes it as "partial 16S ribosomal RNA". It matches the Rfam family "Bacterial small subunit ribosomal RNA", at positions 523 to 918 of the family's 1533-position model. The record is from RNAcentral.
AUACGUAGGGGGCGAGCGUUGUCCGGAAUGAUUGGGCGUAAAGGGCGCGUAGGCGGCGCGGUAAGUCUGGAGUGAAAGUCCUGUUUUCAAGGUGGGAAUAGCUUUGGAUACUGGUUGGCUUGAGUGCGGAAGAGGUAAGUGGAAUUCCCAGUGUAGCGGUGAAAUGCGUAGAGAUUGGGAGGAACACCAGUGGCGAAGGCGACUUACUGGGCCGUAACUGACGCUGAGGCGCGAAAGCGUGGGGAGCGAACAGGAUUAGAUACCCUGGUAGUCCACGCGGUAAACGAUGAAUGCUAGGUGUUGCGGGUAUCGACCCCUGCAGUGCCGGAGUCAACACAAUAAGCAUUCCGCCUGGGGAGUACGGCCGCAAGGUUGAAACUCAAAUGAAUUGACGGGG